AUUGAACGCUGGCGGCAGGCCUAACACAUGCAAGUCGAGCGGAUGAAGGGAGCUUGCUCCUGGAUUCAGCGGCGGACGGGUGAGUAAUGCCUAGGAAUCUGCCUGGUAGUGGGGGAUAACGUCCGGAAACGGGCGCUAAUACCGCAUACGUCCUGAGGGAGAAAGUGGGGGAUCUUCGGACCUCACGCUAUCAGAUGAGCCUAGGUCGGAUUAGCUAGUUGGUGGGGUAAAGGCCUACCAAGGCGACGAUCCGUAACUGGUCUGAGAGGAUGAUCAGUCACACUGGAACCGAGACACGGUCCAGACUCCUACGGGAGGCAGCAGUGGGGAAUAUUGGACAAUAGGCGAAAGCCUGAUCCAGCCAUGCCGCGUGUGUGAAGAAGGUCUUCGGAUUGUAAAGCACUUUAAGUUGGGAGGAAGGGCAGUAAGUUAAUACCUUGCUGUUUUGACGUUACCAACAGAAUAAGCACCGGCUAACUUCGUG
This 484-nucleotide ribosomal RNA is filed under the name uncultured bacterium. Its description in RNAcentral is "partial 16S ribosomal RNA". It matches the Rfam family "Bacterial small subunit ribosomal RNA", at positions 30 to 507 of the family's 1533-position model. The record is from RNAcentral.